This 230-nucleotide ribosomal RNA is filed under the name uncultured bacterium. Its description in RNAcentral is "partial 16S ribosomal RNA". It matches the Rfam family "Bacterial small subunit ribosomal RNA", at positions 15 to 235 of the family's 1533-position model. The record is from RNAcentral.
GAUCCUGACUCAGGAUGAACGCUAGCUACAGGCUUAACACAUGCAAGUCGAGGGGCAGCGGGAUUGAAGCUUGCUUCAAUUGCCGGCGACCGGCGCACGGGUGAGUAACGCGUAUCCAACCUUCCGUACACUCAGGGAUAGCCUUUCGAAAGAAAGAUUAAUACCUGAUGGUAUGAUGAGAUUGCAUGAUAUCAUCAUUAAAGAUUUAUCGGUGUACGAUGGGGAUGUCG